UCGGCCUUUCGUGCUUAAUCCACUCAACACCUGUGCACCUUAUCGAAGUUAGUAGUCUUUCCUCCUUAGUUGGAGCCGCCGGGGUUGACUUUGUUAGUAGUGUUUCGACGCGAAAGCAUAUGGUCGGCCUUGGCUGGGAUCGGCGAACACUUUGACUUCAUUAUACACACUUUAAUUGUCUUGUAGAAUGUAAUGCUCCUUGUGGGCGAAAUGAAAUACAACUUUCAACAACGGAUCUCUUGGCUCUCGCAUCGAUGAAGAACGCAGCGAAAUGCGAUAAGUAAUGUGAAUUGCAGAAUUCAGUGAAUCAUCGAAUCUUUGAACGCACCUUGCGCCCCUUGGUAUUCCGAGGGGCAUGCCUGUUUGAGUGUCAUGUUAACAUCAAACCCCUUGCUUGUAAAGGCUCGGGGCUUGGAUUUGGAGGUUGUGCUGGCUGGCCUACUUCAUUGUCGGUUGUCGGCUCCUCUUAAAUGGAUUAGCUGGACUUUGGUCUGCGUGUCGGUGUAAUAGUUUAUUCACCAAUCGCUUGCCUAA
RNAcentral lists this ribosomal RNA (534 nucleotides) under Porodaedalea chrysoloma. Its description in RNAcentral is "eukaryotic LSU rRNA". The stretch from base 220 to 373 matches the Rfam family "5.8S ribosomal RNA". The record is from RNAcentral. Lineage: Eukaryota; Fungi; Basidiomycota; Agaricomycetes; Hymenochaetales; Hymenochaetaceae.